GUGGAGGACCGAACUGGUUGUCGUUGAAAAGACUUCGGAUGACCUGAGGGUAGGGGUGAAAGGCCAAUCAAACUGGGAAAUAGCUCGUACUCCCCGAAAUGCAUUUAGGUGCAGCGUUGGUGUGAGUUUAAUAGAGGUAGAGCUACUGAUUGGAUGCGGGGGUUUCAUCGCCUACCAAUUCCUGACAAACUCCGAAUGCUAUUAAAUGCUCAUCAGCAGUGAGGGUAUGGGUGCUAAGGUCCAUAUCCUAAAGGGAAAGAACCCGGACCAUCAGCUAAGGUCCCCAAAUAUAUGCUAAGUUGACCAAACGCGGUCUGACUGCACUGACAGCUAGGAUGUUGGCUUGGAAGCAGCCAUACAUUUAAAGAGUGCGUAACAGCUCACUAGUCGAGCGGUUGGGCAUGGAUAAUAAACGGGCAUAAGCAUAUUACCGAAGCUAUGGGGUAUAUAAUACCGGUAGGGGAGCAUUCUAUAGGCGUUGAAGCUAAAGGCGUGAGCCAUGGUGGAGCCUGAUAGAAAAGAAAAUGUAGGCAUAAGUAACGAUAAGGCAGGCGAGAAACCUGCCCGCCGAAAGAUCAAGGUUUCCUCAGCUAUGCUAAUCAGCUGAGGGUUAGUCGGGGACUAACGCGCACCCGAGCAGGGGAAGUGGAUGUACAACAGGUUAAUAUUCCUGUACCAUUAAUCUAAUAAAAGUGACGGAACGAGAUAACUACCGCGUAUUGACGGAAUAGUACGUUAAAGGAGCUGUUAUGGCUUUGAUAGUACACUGAGGCUUCGGUCGAGGUGAUAGAGUGGUGAUAACGUUUCCAAGAAAAGCGAAGAUUAAUGCCCGUACCGUAAACCGACACAGGUGAUUGGGAAGAGAAUUCUAAGGCGCUCGAGAGAUUCAUGGCUAAGGAACUAGGCAAAAUAGACCUGUAACUUCGGGAGAAAGGUCGCCUAUCACAAGAUAGGCCGCAGUGAAAAGGUCCAAGCGACUGUUUAUCAAAAACACAGGACUCUGCAAAAUCGAAAGAUGAGGUAUAGGGUCUGACACCUGCCCGGUGCUGGAAGGUUAAGAGGAGAGCUUAGUGGCAACACGAAGGUUUGAAUUGAAGCCCCAGUAAACGGCGGCCGUAACUAUAACGGUCCUAAGGUAGCGAAAUUCCUUGUCGGGUAAGUUCCGACCUGCACGAAUGGUGUAACGAUUUGGACACUGUCUCGGCCAUGAGCUCGGUGAAAUUGUAGUAUCGGUGAAGAUGCCGAUUACCCGCAGUGGGACGAAAAGACCCUGUGCACCUUUACUAUAUCUUCGUAUUGGUCUUGGAUAAGUGAUGCGUAGGAUAGGUGGGAGACUUAGAAGCGGCUAUUCUGGUAGUUGUGGAGUCGUUGUUGAAAUACCACCCUUUGCUUAUCUGAGGUCUAACCCUGCAGAGUGCAGGGGACAAUUCGUGGAGGGUAGUUUGACUGGGGUGGUCGCCUCCAAAAGAGUAACGGAGGCUUCUAAAGGUUCCCUCAGCACGCUUGGUAACCGUGCGUAGAGUGCAAUGGCAAAAGGGAGCUUGACUGAGAGACCUACAAGUCGAUCAGGUACGAAAGUAGAGCAUAGUGAUCCGGUGGUUCCGUAUGGAAGGGCCAUCGCUCAAAGGAUAAA
This 1633-nucleotide ribosomal RNA is filed under the name human oral metagenome. Its description in RNAcentral is "bacterial LSU rRNA". It matches the Rfam family "Bacterial large subunit ribosomal RNA", at positions 766 to 2460 of the family's 2925-position model. The record is from RNAcentral.